GCAUAUCAAUAAGCGGAGGAAAAGAAACCAACAGGGAUUGCUCUAGUAACGGCGAGUGAAGCAGCAAUAGCUCAAAUUUGAAAUCUGGCGUCUUCGACGUCCGAGUUGUAAUUUGUAGAGGAUGCUUCUGAGUGGCCACCGACCUAAGUUCCUUGGAACAGGACGUCAUAGAGGGUGAGAAUCCCGUAUGCGGUCGGAAAGGCGCUCUAUACGUAGCUCCUUCGACGAGUCGAGUUGUUUGGGAAUGCAGCUCUAAAUGGGAGGUAAAUUUCUUCUAAAGCUAAAUAUUGGCCAGAGACCGAUAGCGCACAAGUAGAGUGAUCGAAAGAUGAAAAGCACUUUGGAAAGAGAGUUAAAAAGCACGUGAAAUUGUUAAAAGGGAAGGGAUUGCAACCAGACUUGCUCGCGGUGUUCCGCCGGUCUUCUGACCGGUCUACUCGCCGCGUUGCAGGCCAGCAUCGUCUGGUGCCGCUGGAUAAGACUUGAGGAAUGUAGCUCCCUCGGGAGUGUUAUAGCCUCUUGUGAUGCAGCGAGCGCCGGGCGAGGUCCGCGCUCGAUAGGAUGCUGACAAAAACGAGGUGUCA
This 584-nucleotide ribosomal RNA is filed under the name Cladosporium ramotenellum. RNAcentral describes it as "partial large subunit ribosomal RNA". It matches the Rfam family "Eukaryotic large subunit ribosomal RNA", at positions 38 to 643 of the family's 3401-position model. Lineage: Eukaryota; Fungi; Ascomycota; Dothideomycetes; Cladosporiales; Cladosporiaceae. The record is from RNAcentral.